RNAcentral lists this ribosomal RNA (1101 nucleotides) under uncultured bacterium. Its description in RNAcentral is "bacterial SSU rRNA". It matches the Rfam family "Bacterial small subunit ribosomal RNA", at positions 266 to 1384 of the family's 1533-position model. The record is from RNAcentral.
UACCAAGCCGACGAUCAGUAGCCGACCUGAGAGGGUGACCGGCCACAUUGGGACUGAGACACGGCCCAGACUCCUACGGGAGGCAGCAGUGGGGAAUAUUGCACAAUGGAGGAAACUCUGAUGCAGCGACGCCGCGUGAAGGAUGAAGUAUUUCGGUAUGUAAACUUCUAUCAGCAGGGAAGAAAAUGACGGUACCUGACUAAGAAGCCCCGGCUAACUACGUGCCAGCAGCCGCGGUAAUACGUAGGGGGCAAGCGUUAUCCGGAUUUACUGGGUGUAAAGGGAGCGUAGACGGCACGGCAAGCCAGAUGUGAAAGCCCGGGGCUCAACCCCGGGACUGCAUUUGGAACUGCUGAGCUAGAGUGUCGGAGAGGCAAGUGGAAUUCCUAGUGUAGCGGUGAAAUGCGUAGAUAUUAGGAGGAACACCAGUGGCGAAGGCGGCUUGCUGGACGAUGACUGACGUUGAGGCUCGAAAGCGUGGGGAGCAAACAAGAUUAGAUACCCUGGUAGUCCACGCCGUAAACGAUGACUGCUAGGUGUCGGGUGGCAAAACCAUUCGGUGCCGCAGCUAACGCAAUAAGCAGUCCACCUGGGGAGUACGUUCGCACGAAUGAAACUCAAAGGAAUUGACGGGGACUCGCACAAGCGGUGGAGCAUGUGGUUUAAUUUGAAGCAACGCGAAGAACCUUACCUGAUCUUGACAUCCCGAUGACCGCUUCGUAAUGGAAGCUUUUCUUCGGAACAUCGGUGACAGGUGGUGCAUGGUUGUCGUCAGCUCGUGUCGUGAGAUGUUGGGUUAAGUCCCGCAACGAGCGCAACCCCUAUCUUCAGUAGCCAGCAGGUUAAGCUGGGCACUCUGGAGAGACUGCCAGGGAUAACCUGGAGGAAGGUGGGGAUGACGUCAAAUCAUCAUGCCCCCUAUGACCAGGGCUACACACGUGCUACAAUGGCGUAAACAAAGAGAAGCGAACUCGCGAGGGUAAGCAAAUCUCAAAAAUAACGUCUCAGUUCGGAUUGUAGUCUGCAACUCGACUACAUGAAGCUGGAAUCGCUAGUAAUCGCAGAUCAGAAUGCUGCGGCGAAAAAAGUCCCGGGUCUUGC